UAUUUUCUGUAAAAUCUGCAGACAAAAAUUGGGCUCAACAGAGACAUAUCCUCAAAAUCAGGAAGAGCAUUGAAUUAAAAGAUUUCACUAGUCAUUCAAUUAUUUUCGUUUCACGUAGGUGUCGGUAGAAAUUAGUAUAAGAAGGAGAGUUGUAAAGAUUUUAGUUUCAUACCUUCUCCAACACAUAGCUUUACUACACACACCAAAAUCCAGUUUCACACUUCUUCGACGCACUCUAAGAUUUUUUUUUUCUACCAAGAUCCUACACACCUAAAAUCCCUUUUCAUCCAAAAUUUUAAGCAAGUACACAGAAAAAGUUUUCCACCUUUCCUAGCAAGUUUUCAAGCAAGCAUUCUUUAAGAAGGAGAAUUUCAAGCAGGAGCACAUUAAAUAAAUCUUUAAUCAUUCUUUUGAGGUUGAGCUGUGAUAGAGUGGAUGGUGCUAAUUAAACCAGACCUACUUCUAUUUCCAUUCAAUACUCUCGGAGGUUCCUGUCUUCAUACAUGGAACCGCGUUCAGUUCUUUCCGCUGUGCAUUGAAGCAAGUGAAAUCCUUAUGUCUCUAAAGACUCUAAUAACUAGCCAGUAUAUUGUAUGGUCCCUUACUCGAGUCAUUGUGAUGGAGCCAUUCUAUUCAUGUAUUCAUCGUUUAUACUCUACAGACAGAAAGUUCAACCAUUAAA
Molecule: long non-coding RNA, 682 nt
Organism: Salvia hispanica
Lineage: Eukaryota; Viridiplantae; Streptophyta; Magnoliopsida; Lamiales; Lamiaceae
Source: RefSeq, a predicted model, not a curated record